This 83-nucleotide transfer RNA is filed under the name Caudoviricetes sp. RNAcentral's name for it is "tRNA-Leu". It matches the Rfam family "tRNA". From Rfam's summary of the family: Transfer RNA (tRNA) molecules are approximately 80 nucleotides in length. Their secondary structure includes four short double-helical elements and three loops (D, anti-codon, and T loops). The record is from RNAcentral. Lineage: Duplodnaviria; Heunggongvirae; Uroviricota; Caudoviricetes.
GUCGGUGUGGUGGAAUUAGGAAUACACGACAGACUCAAAAUCUGUUGCCGAAAGGCAUGAGGGUUCGACCCCCUCCACCGAUA